CAGUAGCCGCGGGAAUACGAAGGGGGCUAGCGUUGCUCGGAAUGACUGGGCGUAAAGGGCGCGUAGGCGGAAUGCUUUGUCGGGCGUGAAAUUCCAGGGCUUAACCUUGGGGCUGCGUUCGAGACGGGUAUUCUAGAGUGGAGAAGAGGGUCGUGGAAUUCCCAGUGUAGAGGUGAAAUUCGUAGAUAUUGGGAAGAACACCGGUGGCGAAGGCGGCGACCUGGUCUUUUACUGACGCUGAGGCGCGAAGGCGUGGGGAGCAAACAGGAUUAGAUACCCGGGUAGUCCCUGUCUCUUAUAC
RNAcentral lists this ribosomal RNA (301 nucleotides) under uncultured bacterium. RNAcentral's name for it is "partial 16S ribosomal RNA". It matches the Rfam family "Bacterial small subunit ribosomal RNA", at positions 509 to 807 of the family's 1533-position model. The record is from RNAcentral.